GGAGCAGCCUGGUAGCUCGUCGGGCUCAUAACCCGAAGGUCGUCGGUUCAAAUCCGGCCCCCGCAACCA
RNAcentral lists this transfer RNA (69 nucleotides) under Escherichia coli. RNAcentral's name for it is "tRNA-Met". It matches the Rfam family "tRNA", at positions 9 to 71 of the family's 71-position model. Rfam says of the family: Transfer RNA (tRNA) molecules are approximately 80 nucleotides in length. Their secondary structure includes four short double-helical elements and three loops (D, anti-codon, and T loops). Lineage: Bacteria; Pseudomonadati; Pseudomonadota; Gammaproteobacteria; Enterobacterales; Enterobacteriaceae. RNAcentral also lists the same sequence under 5 other names. The record is from RNAcentral.